AAUGACUUGGUGCGAUAAAGUCUGGGCGAAUCGUGAGGCGACCGCGAUGAUUCGAGAAGAGCUUGCAUUGCUGUCUCCGGACCACGACGAGAGGUUUGGCAUCGUCGCUCGACUGAUGCUGAGGGCGCUGC
Molecule: small RNA, 131 nt
Filed under: Hemiselmis andersenii
Lineage: Eukaryota; Cryptophyceae; Cryptomonadales; Hemiselmidaceae
Description: partial Betaproteobacteria transfer-messenger RNA
Source: RNAcentral